This 25-nucleotide non-coding RNA is filed under the name Cricetulus griseus (Chinese hamster). The record is from RNAcentral. Lineage: Eukaryota; Metazoa; Chordata; Mammalia; Rodentia; Cricetidae.
UCUCCUUGGGACUGGAUGAAGAUGU